UAUAAAUCCCUGCCUGGUGCUCCAUC
Molecule: non-coding RNA, 26 nt
Filed under: Mus musculus (house mouse)
Lineage: Eukaryota; Metazoa; Chordata; Mammalia; Rodentia; Muridae
Source: RNAcentral